Non-coding RNA from Podarcis lilfordi (Lilford's wall lizard), 72 nucleotides. Lineage: Eukaryota; Metazoa; Chordata; Lepidosauria; Squamata; Lacertidae. The record is from the annotation of a GenBank genome assembly.
CACAUGGUGGCUCAGUGGUUAAGGCAGUGGACUAGGCUCUGAGAGCAUGGGUUCAAAUCCCACCCUCGGUGU